UGGUCCAAUUAUCACAUCUCCUGCAUUGCGGCUCUGGUCCCCCAGUUGUGUGAUCUGCACCUCAAUACGAAAUUUGAGGCUGGCCCACUGGAAAUCCUUCUUGAGACUUUGAGCCUCAGGAAUGCCAAGUCGGUCCUUUCGUAUGAAUUGCGUGAAUUUAUUGUUACAUAUUGACAAGGUAUCAUGAAAUUGUAAUUAUUCAGGUGAAGUCACAAGGUGUCUCUUCGGUUUUGGCUGAGAAAAUGUCGUCUAUCUUUGACCACUCGAGCAAUGUGCACAAGAAUGGAUGCAAUCUCCUGGUGAAGAUGUUUUCUUUUUCUCGCCCGCUCCUGCGUUUUGGACCGUAUGCGGCGGCCCGUGGGGCUUGCAGGCUGUCCGACGACUCGGCUUUGUGAGGAAAUUUCCAAGCCAAGACCAAGCAUGAUAGGACUAAUUGGAAUCGUCGUCAACUCCAACAUGAAUGGAGACCCCUCAAAAGCCUCAAUCGAAUAGCUAAAGGAGUUACUGUUACAAACUUCUUAAUGUUACCGGAGACGCAGGGAGAAUG
RNAcentral lists this small RNA (547 nucleotides) under Histoplasma ohiense. RNAcentral describes it as "hypothetical lncRNA". The record is from RNAcentral. Lineage: Eukaryota; Fungi; Ascomycota; Eurotiomycetes; Onygenales; Ajellomycetaceae.